This 68-nucleotide transfer RNA is filed under the name Marmota monax (woodchuck). RNAcentral's name for it is "tRNA.Gly". The record is from RNAcentral. Lineage: Eukaryota; Metazoa; Chordata; Mammalia; Rodentia; Sciuridae.
GGUAUGAAGCUCAGUGGUAGAGAACCUGCCUACCAUGCAUGAGGCCCUAGGUUUGACCCCCAGCACCA